GACGUAGGGCGCGAGCGUUGUCCGGAUUUAUUGGGCGUAAAGAGCUCGUAGGCGGCUUGUCGCGUCGACUGUGAAAACUCGGGGCUCAACUCCGAGCUUGCAGUCGAUACGGGCAGGCUAGAGUUCGGUAGGGGAGACUGGAAUUCCUGGUGUAGCGGUGAAAUGCGUAGAUAUCUGGAGGAACACCGGUGGCGAAGGCGGCAUCCUGGACCGGUAUUGACGCUGAGGCGCGAAAGCCAGGGGAGCAAACGGG
This 253-nucleotide ribosomal RNA is filed under the name uncultured bacterium. RNAcentral describes it as "partial 16S ribosomal RNA". It matches the Rfam family "Bacterial small subunit ribosomal RNA", at positions 524 to 776 of the family's 1533-position model. The record is from RNAcentral.